ACACUUUAGUUCAACCAUUCUCCUUUUAGAGAUUUCAUAAAAUAUGUAUCACCUACAGAUGUAGUGUAGAUGACCUUUCUUUAUUACAUGCCAAUUCAGAUCAGAUUAAAAUAUUAGAAAAAGGUAAUUUGGUAACCGUAAUAUGCAUGUCAUCUAAACCUCUGUUAAUUGAACAAAGCAUACCAAUAAAUGGAGAUAUUUAGAAGAGAAAUAUAUAUUUUCCAAAUGUUGACUUUUGCGAAAGAAUGAAAUAACCAAAAGAAAGAAGAUGCGGGAGAUUUUACUGAACAAGAUAGGAAACAAUCACCUGAUUACAGUACGCGUAUGCUGCCGAUGCUUAUAAUAGAUGAACAAGAUAGGCUCCUCUGUUUGAUGAAUGGAUAAGAGAAGCCGCUGCUGGUUUUGGAUGUGGAAAAUACGCUAAGAUUGCAGAUUCAGCAGGGACGACCUAGCACACGGAAAAGGGGAACGGCCGAAUGGCCGAAUGACGACGCGGUUCGCCCCUGUUGUUGCUGGAUGUGGAAAAUAAGCUAAGAUUGCAGAUUCAGCAUGGACGGCCUACCACACGGAAGAAGAUUAAACUGGGUACUACCUCAAGCGUUCCUGGAUCGCUGGAAGCUGCUUGGUCUUGACAGCGUGUUUGGCAGCUUCAGGGAUUGGGAAUGGGAGUUUAGGAGGGGGAGUUUGUGAAGGGAUUAGACUUGGGAAGUAGACUAUUAGUCUCAAUUCCAUGUUUGGAGUGUGGUGGGAAUUAUUAGUGGGAAUUCAGUGGGGAGUUAUUUUUCUUUGUUUCGUUCAUCGGUACAGGAAUAGAAUUUGACACGAAGCAUGAAGCAUACAGGUACACAAACGUAAGUGCUAUAUGACAUAUACAUAUUGUACUCUACAUACAGCCACAACGGCAAGUUAACAACCAUUGUGGCUUGCCAGUUUUCAUGUAUAUGUCAGGUGGCUAGCAGCCAUUGUGGCUUGCCAGUUCUCAUGUAUAUGUCUCGUGGCAUCAUGAACAAUCUUGGUUUUGCACAUCUACAAGUAGCAGCCACAAUGGCAAGAGCGAUGACCAACAACUACAUCUGAAGACUAGCAAACAAAUGUAUACAAGCACAAGAGAUUUCAUCCAGUAAAUAUUCACAUCCAUGUCCCAUCUAUACUUCUAAAAAGGGCAUCACUGCCUAAUUGAGAGAUAGAUUCUUCCGUACAAUAUUUUUAUGAAUUAAACAAGGGACCAAGUGAAAUACUAAAUCAAAGUACUAAUCUGCACCUCCAACCUUUUGGUGACUCUUGCUCGUGAACUGCAAAGGGGGAACGGAAGUGAUGGAGAAAAUCUGUGACCUGUGAAUCAAAAAAAGAAGAAGAAUAGAUCUGCAUCAGUUUGUAAAGCAAAAAGAAAUGAAUCCAACUUUGUUAGGAAAACCAGAUGGGAUAGCUAGAUGUGUACAUAACAAGGUUGGAUUGGCAUGAAAAUUUCCAUGGAUUCAAGAUGGAAAGGGAAAGAAUGGGUUAUCUCAGCUCCUGUUCAUGCUUGCCGCCAGCUCUGGAGAUUGGGAAAGAACAAGUUGGAUUAGUAGCUGCCGAUUAGAUUGGAGGACUAAUGAUGGCGCUGCUGUAUAGGGGUCCUUAGGUAGGAUUUUACUGCGUUUUCGCUGGGAUUCUCGCACGCUUUUCCCCUUCCUCCACGGAACAUAACGAGCAGCUCGAGGUUUUUUUUUGGGCGUCAAAUCCCCCUCCCAUGCUCAAUUACUAGGGUCCCCCAGGGAAUAGUUUUAUGGGAGUUGACCUCCCAUACUCCGCUUCCCAUUCCCCUCUUAAUUCCCAUGUCCCCGAUUCAAACAAAGGUAAUUAAGUCCCACGGGCCUUAAACUCCCAUUCCCCACGUCCAAUUCCC
Molecule: long non-coding RNA, 1885 nt
Filed under: Hordeum vulgare
Lineage: Eukaryota; Viridiplantae; Streptophyta; Magnoliopsida; Poales; Poaceae
Description: long non-coding RNA (HVUL_LNC007566)
Source: RNAcentral